Rhinopithecus roxellana (golden snub-nosed monkey) is the source of this 653-nucleotide RNA transcript. It is a transcript of the gene named ATP-dependent RNA helicase DDX50-like, with no coding region annotated. The transcript is spliced from 5 exons. The record is from RefSeq and is a predicted model, not a curated record. Lineage: Eukaryota; Metazoa; Chordata; Mammalia; Primates; Cercopithecidae.
GCACGGCCAAGGCCGGGCGGCCGCCCUGCCCCCGCUUCCUUUCACGCUGUCGCUGCCCUUAGGGGGUUGUAGCCACUGUGCCCGGAGGGAGGCGGCGGUGGCCAGUAAUGCCUGGGAAACUCCUCUGGGGGGACAUUAUGGAGCUGGAAGCACCCUUGGCGGAGUCCGAGAGCCAGAAGAAGGAGAGGCAAAAGCUGUCACCGCCAUCCAUCUCCAGAACUUUUCAUUGUCCCAGACUGAAACUCUGUGCCCAUUAAACACCCACUUCUCAUUCCUCUCUCCUUCCACUCCCGGCAACCACCAUUCUACUUUCGCUCUGUGAAUUUGACUACUGAAGCUACCUAGAGUGUAAGCAGAAAACCAAGCAGACCUUAACACGUGAACAGAAAGAAGGAGCCUUCUCCAAUUUUCCUGUUUCUGAAGAGACGAUAAAGCUUCUGAAAGCAUUUGGCCAUCCAGUGUCAUUGGUCUCAGAGGCCGGCAGUUAUUGGAGAUGUCCUUCAAGUCUACAGUGGGUCUGAAGGGAGGGCUAUUAUUUUCUGUGAGACCAAAAAGAAUGUAACUGAAAUGGCCAUGAAUCCACACAUAAAACAGAUGGUGUCUCUGUCACCCAGACUGGAGUGCAGUGGCAUGAUCUUGGCUCACUGCAGCCU